AAUAAGCGGAGGAAAAGAAACUAACAAGGAUUCCCCUAGUAACGGCGAGUGAAGCGGGAAGAGCUCAAAUUUGAAAUCUGGUAGCCUUCGGUUGCCCGAGUUGUAAUCUAGAGAAGUGUUUUCCGUGCCGGCCCAUGUACAAGUCCCUUGGAACAGGGCGUCAUAGAGGGUGAGAAUCCCGUCCUUGACAUGGACCCCCGGUGCUUUGUGAUACACUUUCAACGAGUCGAGUUGUUUGGGAAUGCAGCUCAAAAUGGGUGGUGAAUUCCAUCUAAAGCUAAAUAUUGGCGAGAGACCGAUAGCGAACAAGUACCGUGAGGGAAAGAUGAAAAGCACUUUGGAAAGAGAGUUAAACAGUACGUGAAAUUGUUGAAAGGGAAACGAUUGAAGUCAGUCAUGCUCUUAGGAUUCAGCCGUUCUGCGGUGUAUUUCCUUUGAGUGGGGUCAACAUCAGUUUUGAUCGAUGGAUAAAGGCACGAGGAAGGUAGCACUCUCGGGUGAACUUAUAGCCUCGCGUCAUAUACAUUGAUUGGGACUGAGGAACGCAGCAUGCCUUUAUGGCCGGGAUUCGUCCACGUACAUGCUUAGGAUGUGACAUAAUGGCUUUAAACGACCCGUC
Molecule: ribosomal RNA, 619 nt
Filed under: Naganishia adeliensis
Lineage: Eukaryota; Fungi; Basidiomycota; Tremellomycetes; Filobasidiales; Filobasidiaceae
Description: eukaryotic LSU rRNA
Rfam family: Eukaryotic large subunit ribosomal RNA
Source: RNAcentral